RNAcentral lists this ribosomal RNA (500 nucleotides) under uncultured bacterium. RNAcentral's name for it is "partial 16S ribosomal RNA". It matches the Rfam family "Bacterial small subunit ribosomal RNA", at positions 29 to 523 of the family's 1533-position model. The record is from RNAcentral.
AGCGAACGCUGGCGGCGUGCCUAACACAUGCAAGUCGAACGAGAAAGUCCUUCGGGAUGAGUAGAGUGGCGCACGGGUGAGUAAGGAAUAGGAACGUACCUUUUGGAGGGGGAUAACUACGGGAAACCGUGGCUAAUACCGCAUGAGAUCGAGAGAUGAAAGGAGGCCUCUGCUUGCAAGCUUCCGCCGAUAGAGCGGCCUAUUUCCCAUUAGCUAGUUGGUGGGGUAAAGGCCUACCAAGGCUACGAUGGGUAGCUGGUCUGAGAGGACGAUCAGCCACACUGGAACUGAGACACGGUCCAGACUCCUACGGGAGGCAGCAGUGGGGAAUCUUGCACAAUGGGCGAAAGCCUGAUGCAGCAACGCCGCGUGAGUGAAGAAGGCCUUUGGGUUGUAAAGCUCUUUCGGUUGGGAAGAAGGGGAUGUGAGCUAAUACCUCAUAUUUUUGACGGUACCAGCAUAAGAAGCACCGGCUAAUUCCGUGCCAGCCGCCGCGGUAA